UUGGAACAUCAGGCACCAAUCGAAUUUGUUUUGUUCAUCCCAUCCUUUCCUCUCCAAACUCCUCGUUUCUCAGACCCAAAAUCACUUCAGUUGUUUCUUUCCUCUCACCACUCGACUUCAUAACCAAACCAUUCCCUUUCGCUCUUUAACCAAAAUCCAAAACCAAGCCCAUAAUUUUCGUGUUCCGGGAAAGCAAUUGGGUUUUUAAUUGAAAGGAAGUUAAGGGUCGUGUGAGUGCAGAAGAGGAUUGCGUUGAUGAAGCUGAGGAGCAAAGUAGAGGGGAGAGUACUAUGCCGGAGCGGUUUAGGUACUUGACUGAAGAAGCUCCUGACCCUCCUGUGAGGUGACCUUGGUUUCUGGGUGAAUUGGUGCGGUAAACGGUAGCAACAAGCAAACGGGUGGAUGGAAGAGGCAUGGAAAAGAGAGAGAUGGACAACAGACAUGUAUAAAAGAGUUCGUGAUGCGACCUUAAGCAAAAGUGGAAGUUCAUGCAUUUCAGACAAGAGCAUCCAAGAGGCUUUCCAAUUUAGUUUAGGCUUACAGUAGUUCUUGUCAGGGUUUUGUUUCCUUUCCCAGUUCUGAGGGCUACGGUAUAAUAUUUGGGCAGUUUUGGUUGGAUGGGAGGUGGUACAGAUGUGCCUACUAGAAAAAUUCUCAGUUAGUUUUGAUUGGAUAGGGGAAUAUGUCUAGACUAGGCUUGUUGAACCUUCAAUUGUUUGCUAUAUUUUCAGAACGAAGUAAUUGUAUGUAUAUGCAUAUAUUCAAGUAUACUGUUGAUUUAUGUCUA
Long non-coding RNA from Rosa rugosa (rugosa rose), 787 nucleotides. RefSeq lists it as uncharacterized. The record is from RefSeq and is a predicted model, not a curated record. Lineage: Eukaryota; Viridiplantae; Streptophyta; Magnoliopsida; Rosales; Rosaceae. The transcript is spliced from 3 exons.